This 120-nucleotide ribosomal RNA is filed under the name uncultured bacterium. RNAcentral's name for it is "partial 16S ribosomal RNA". It matches the Rfam family "Bacterial small subunit ribosomal RNA", at positions 28 to 148 of the family's 1533-position model. The record is from RNAcentral.
GACGAACGCUGGCGGCGUGCUUAACACAUGCAAGUCGAGCGGUAAGGCCCCUUCGGGGGUACACGAGCGGCGAACGGGUGAGUAACACGUGAGUAACCUGCCCCUGACUCUGGGAUAAGC